RNAcentral lists this ribosomal RNA (1102 nucleotides) under Listeria monocytogenes. Its description in RNAcentral is "partial 23S ribosomal RNA". It matches the Rfam family "Bacterial large subunit ribosomal RNA", at positions 408 to 1510 of the family's 2925-position model. The record is from RNAcentral. Lineage: Bacteria; Bacillati; Bacillota; Bacilli; Caryophanales; Listeriaceae.
CUGAGUACGGCGGAACACGUGAAAUUCCGUCGGAAUCCGGGAGGACCAUCUCCCAAGGCUAAAUACUCCCUAGUGACCGAUAGUGAACCAGUACCGUGAGGGAAAGGUGAAAAGCACCCCGGAAGGGGAGUGAAACAGUUCCUGAAACCGUGUGCCUACAAGUAGUUAGAGCCCGUUAAUGGGUGAUAGCGUGCCUUUUGUAGAAUGAACCGGCGAGUUACGAUUUGUUGCAAGGUUAAGCGGAAAAAGCGGAGCCGUAGCGAAAGCGAGUCUGAAUAGGGCGCAUAAGUAACAGGUCGUAGACCCGAAACCAGGUGAUCUACCCAUGUCCAGGAUGAAGGUAAGGUAAUACUUACUGGAGGUCCGAACCCACGCACGUUGAAAAGUGCGGGGAUGAGGUGUGGGUAGCGGAGAAAUUCCAAUCGAACUUGGAGAUAGCUGGUUCUCUCCGAAAUAGCUUUAGGGCUAGCCUCGAGGUAAAGAGUCAUGGAGGUAGAGCACUGUUUGGACUAGGGGCCCUUCUCGGGUUACCGAAUUCAGAUAAACUCCGAAUGCCAUGUACUUAUACUCGGGAGUCAGACUGCGAGUGAUAAGAUCCGUAGUCGAAAGGGAAACAGCCCAGACCACCAGUUAAGGUCCCCAAAUAUAUGUUAAGUGGAAAAGGAUGUGGGGUUGCUUAGACAACCAGGAUGUUGGCUUAGAAGCAGCCACCAUUGAAAGAGUGCGUAAUAGCUCACUGGUCGAGUGACCCCGCGCCGAAAAUGUACCGGGGCUAAACAUAUUACCGAAACUGUGGAUGAACCUCUUUAGAGGUUCGUGGUAGGAGAGCGUUCUAAGGGCGGUGAAGUCAGACCGGAAGGACUGGUGGAGCGCUUAGAAGUGAGAAUGCCGGUAUGAGUAGCGAAAGAAGGGUGAGAAUCCCUUCCACCGAAUAUCUAAGGUUUCCUGAGGAAGGCUCGUCCGCUCAGGGUUAGUCGGGACCUAAGCCGAGGCCGAUAGGCGUAGGCGAUGGACAACAGGUAGAGAUUCCUGUACCAGUGCUAAUUGUUUAACCGAUGGGGUGACACAGAAGGAUAGGGAAUCGCACGAAUGGAAAUGUGCG